This is a non-coding RNA of Aegilops tauschii subsp. strangulata, 2390 nucleotides long. The record is from RefSeq and is a predicted model, not a curated record. Lineage: Eukaryota; Viridiplantae; Streptophyta; Magnoliopsida; Poales; Poaceae.
CGUCCCAUUAGCACGUCGCCGAAUGGCCUAAUAACCCGGCCACGACCUUCCUGUGCACGCUAUCUCCAACUUGAUUCCAUCGUCCUCCUCCUUCUGCAGCGCCGCCGCCGGCCACCAGCCUCCUCCCGCAGAGCCGCCGCCGGCUUCAUCCCACGGCCGUGCGCCUUCCUCCUCCCGCGGCCCUGCUCCCGAUCUUCUCCGGCGGCCGCGCGCCGUCUUACGGCCGUUGCCCCGCUGCCGGUCUCCUCCCACAGACGUGUCGCCGCCGACCCCCAACAGGAUCCCGUGCCUCCACCGCCCCAAGAUCCUAUGCCGUUGGGCGGGAUCCGGCGCCCGCACCCCCAUCGCAUCCACGUCCCUGCGAGCCCAAGCACACCGCCGGCCGCGUGCACUCGACGCGACACCUCCUGCCUCCCCACGUCGUCGCCUACCCCGCCAUCACCGCAACCACGCAUCGCUCGCGGCCGGGAUCCAUCGCGCAGUUCAACCAAGUCCGUGUGUGCAGUCCCUCCUCGUUCGCUUGCUUGACAGCAGAGCAAACAGUGCUCCCAAAUCUGCAGAAGGAGCUCCUGAUUUUUGAGGUCUGAAGUUCAGGUGUACCAUGGAGACUACUACGGCCGUUCGAAACACUAGCAGGCGACGUGCUAGCCAGCUGCAGGUCACGGUCUCCUCUCCUCGAGUUGCAGGUCGUCUAAAUCUGGAGUUCUGGACUAUCUGAUCUACCGGUUUAGCCUGCGCCGACCAUCGAAGCCUACCGAGGAUAAGCAGCACAAUGGGGUGUGGAUAGAUGAGAAAAGGGAAUUUCUCGAUAAGUUGAUUUCGCGGAAAAUAAGAGCUAAUAUAAAACCUGGAGUUGGAAGAUGGGUUUCAUAUUUGAACAGAGAGAGGAAACUAGCGCGGGACCAAGGCUGGCAGGUACCCCGUGCAUCUGCAAGGUGCUCCAGCUGGUCGUCGCCACCUCAUCUACUCGCCGGCUUCCGUACGUGAGCACAACCGGAGAGCCCCUGUAACUUCUACAUCCGCCCACGCAUCCUCAUGCUCUGCCUCCGCUCUCUCCGAUUAGUUGACCUUCUCACGAGGGCCACCACGACCUUCCCUGGACCAGCUAAUUUUUAACUUCAUGAGACGCCGCCCCGCGGCCAAACUCGUGCCUGCGCUUGGCUCCGUCCGCAGCAGCACACCACCUCCCUCGCCGUCCACCUGCCUGUGUUCAUAUUCUACAGGUGACCUUCUCUCCUCACGUGUACUGACCUUCCUCCUCCUGCUGCUUCCUCCUCCCUUUUAGGAUGAUUGAACUCUGUCGCAUGGAGUAGUAGAACCACCGGCGUGUCUUGUCCCCAUUCCUUAUUUGUGCGCCUUGCCUUCUGGCGUUGCCACGAUGAGAAACCAACUUGUCCAAUUUUUCAGUGGGGGAUCACACAGUGGGUGUUGAGGGGUACUGAAGUUCAGAGUGAACGUGGAUUAAGGUUCAGAGAUGUAUUUUUUAGUACAUUCAGAGAGGGUUUUCCCCUUGUUUUUCAUUUCUUAGCCUCUUCAUAAAUUAUCAGAUAAUUUCCGGGACUAACAUUCCAUUGUAGCUUAUAGUCUCAUGUAUGUAUGAUUUUUUUUGAUCAAGUAUACUCUGCAUCCUUGAAAAUACUCGAACCUGAUCAUAACUUGGUUAAGUCUUUGAUAUAGCAGAAACUUUUAUAGCCAAACAUAUUGCAAUCUGAAAAUUAUUAUCUUUGUGUGAAUAUGUUUUAACCCUAUGCAGAAAAAAUCAGCGGAAAGCUCCACACAGGCAAUUCUUGAUCCCUAGACCAGCUCGAUCAGUUAGUUGUGUGCAGAAUAUUACAUGUAGUUCUUUGGGUUCCCUACUUUCAUUUUGGUAAAACUAUUGAUGAAAAAAUGUACCUAUACAGAAAUUAUGGAUCGGUUCAAGAAAAAUGGAUGUUUACUAAUUUUGCGGUUUAAAGUUUUCUUUGUGUUUUUCUACAGCAGUUUGGAGUGUAUUUAUAUAGAAGAAAAAACAACAGCACGUGCACCGGAGCAGCAGGAGCGCAUUCACCAUCUAUGCACAUGUGUGUGUAGUGCACUUGAGGGAGCACUCCCCUGUUGCUAUUAUGCUCCUACGCCUCCCCAUGGAUCCUGUUCUCUUCUCUUCUUUUUGCUGUGAUUUUGUAAAUUGAAGAUCAUUCAUAACAGGGGAAGAAAAAGUUUUAGAGAGUUUUUCAUAAAAAGCCAUAGAUUUUAUUCUGAUUGUGAUGGACUUUUCUCACAUGUUUAUGCUAGUUCAUGCUCGUUUUGUACUCUUUUUUGUUCUUACUCUGUUUCAGAUUUUGGUUUGAAAAAGUAUGCGCAUGUUGACAGAGACAAUCUAUACAAAGAAGUUCAAAUAUUAUUGCCCUGUA